Molecule: ribosomal RNA, 253 nt
Filed under: uncultured bacterium
Lineage: Bacteria
Description: partial 16S ribosomal RNA
Rfam family: Bacterial small subunit ribosomal RNA
Source: RNAcentral
UACGAAGGGGGCUAGCGUUACUCGGAAUGACUGGGCGUAAAGGGCGCGUAGGCGGUUUGCUUAGUUAGGCGUGAAAUUCCUGGGCUCAACCUGGGGGCUGCGCUUAAUACAGGCAGACUAGAGUGUGAAAGAGGGUCGUGGAAUUCCCAGUGUAGAGGUGAAAUUCGUAGAUAUUGGAAAGAACACCGGUGGCGAAGGCGGCGACCUGGUUCAUUACUGACGCUGAGGCGCGAAAGCGUGGGGAGCAAACAGG